ACAGCGGAGGGAUCAUUACCGAGUUUACAACUCCCAAACCCAAUGUGAACGUUACCAAACUGUUGCCUCGGCGGGAUCUCUGCCCCGGGUGCGUCGCAGCCCCGGACCAAGGCGCCCGCCGGAGGACCAACCUAAAACUCUUAUUGUAUACCCCCUCGCGGGUUUUUUUUAUAAUCUGAGCCUUCUCGGCGCCUCUCGUAGGCGUUUCGAAAAUGAAUCAAAACUUUCAACAACGGAUCUCUUGGUUCUGGCAUCGAUGAAGAACGCAGCGAAAUGCGAUAAGUAAUGUGAAUUGCAGAAUUCAGUGAAUCAUCGAAUCUUUGAACGCACAUUGCGCCCGCCAGUAUUCUGGCGGGCAUGCCUGUCCGAGCGUCAUUUCAACCCUCGAACCCCUCCGGGGGGUCGGCGUUGGGGAUCGGCCCUCCCUUAGCGGGUGGCCGUCUCCGAAAUACAGUGGCGGUCUCGCCGCAGCCUCUCCUGCGCAGUAGUUUGCACACUCGCAUCGGGAGCGCGGCGCGUCCACAGCCGUUAAACACCCAACUUCUGAAAUGUUGACCUCGGAUCAGGUAGGAAUACCCGCUGAACUUAAGCAUAU
This 595-nucleotide ribosomal RNA is filed under the name Trichoderma harzianum. RNAcentral's name for it is "eukaryotic LSU rRNA". The stretch from base 222 to 375 matches the Rfam family "5.8S ribosomal RNA". Lineage: Eukaryota; Fungi; Ascomycota; Sordariomycetes; Hypocreales; Hypocreaceae. The record is from RNAcentral.